Molecule: long non-coding RNA, 215 nt
Filed under: Lathyrus oleraceus (garden pea)
Lineage: Eukaryota; Viridiplantae; Streptophyta; Magnoliopsida; Fabales; Fabaceae
Description: Pisum sativum (pea) long non-coding RNA (PSAT_LNC000574)
Source: RNAcentral
AAUUAUGUAUGGUUCCGUGUUUUUGUUUUCCUUCAUUUCUUAUUCUCUUUAAACAAAGUUCAUGUCAUUAUUUAUUUAUUAUGGUUGUUUUCCUUUAUUUUCAGACAUGAAGAAAACGUUAUCUCAUGAUCUUGAAAAAAAGUUCAUUAUCACUCUUAAAUAUCUUGUAACUCCUAAUACAAAUAUAUCGAUUGUGUAUUGGAAGUUAUAUUUUG